UUCCGGUUGAUCCCGCCGGAGGUCACUGCUAUUGGGAUUCGACUAAGCCAUGCGAGUCGAGAGGGUUCGGCCCUCGGCUGACGGCUCAGUAACACGUGGAUAAUCUGCCCUAAGAUGGAGGAUAACCUCGGGAAACUGAGAAUAAUACUCCAUAGGUCUAAGAUGCUGGAAUGCAUUUAGACUGAAAACUCCGGUGCCUUAGGAUGAGUCUGCGGACUAUCAGGUUGUAGUCAGGGUAAAGACCUGACUAGCCUACGACGGAUACGGGUUGUGAGAGCAAUAACCCGGAGAUGAUAUCUGAGACACGAUAUCAGGCCCUACGGGGCGCAGCAGGCGCGAAAACUUCACAAUGUGCGAAAGCGCGAUGAGGGAAUCCCAAGUGCAUGCACGUAAGUGUAUGCUGUUUCUUUGUUUAAAAAGCAUAGAGAGUAAGGGCUGGGUAAGACGGGUGCCAGCCGCCGCGGUAAUACCUGCAGCUCAAGUGGUGAUCGUUAUUAUUGGGCCUAAAACGUCCGUAGCCGGUUUAGUAAAUGCCUGGGUAAAUCGUGUAGCUCAACUAUACGAAUUCCGGGUAGACUGCUAAACUUGAGACCGGGAGAGGCUAGAGGUACUCCUGGGGUAGAGGUGAAAUUCUGUAAUCCUAGGGGGACCACCAGUGGCGAAGGCGUCUAGCUAGAACGGGUCUGACGGUGAGGGACGAAGCCCUGGGGCGCAAACCGGAUUAGAUACCCGGGUAGUCCAGGGUGUAAACGCUGCUUGCUUGAUGUUAGUCGGGCUCCGAGCCCGAUUAGUGUCGGAGAGAAGUUGUUAAGCAAGCUGCCUGGGAAGUACGGUCGCAAGACUGAAACUUAAAGGAAUUGGCGGGGGAGCACAGCAACGGGUGGAGCGUGCGGUUUAAUUGGAUUCAACGCCGGGAAUCACUAGUGCGGCCGCCUGCAGGUCGACCAUAU
This 950-nucleotide ribosomal RNA is filed under the name uncultured archaeon. Its description in RNAcentral is "bacterial SSU rRNA". It matches the Rfam family "Archaeal small subunit ribosomal RNA", at positions 1 to 959 of the family's 1478-position model. The record is from RNAcentral.